GAUGAACGCUGGCGGCGUGCCUAAUACAUGCAAGUCGAGCGAACAGACGAGGAGCUUGCUCCUCUGACGUUAGCGGCGGACGGGUGAGUAACACGUGGAUAACCUACCUAUAAGACUGGUAUAACUUCGGGAAACCGGAGCUAAUACCGGAUAAUAUAUUGAACCGCAUGGUUCAAUAGUGAAAUACGGUUUUGCUGUCACUUAUAGAUGGAUCCGCGCCGCAUUAGCUAGUUGGUAAGGUAACGGCUUACCAAGGCAACGAUGCGUAGCCGACCUGAGAGGGUGAUCGGCCACACUGGAACUGAGACACGGUCCAGACUCCUACGGGAGGCAGCAGUAGGGAAUCUUCCGUAAUGGGCGAAAGCUUGACGGAGCAACGCCGCGUGAGUGAUGAAGGUCUUCGGAUCGUAAAACUCUGUUAUUAGGGAAGAACAAAUGUGUAAGUAACUAUGCACGUCUUGACGGUACCUAAUCAGAAAGCCACGGCUAACUACGUG
Molecule: ribosomal RNA, 497 nt
Filed under: uncultured bacterium
Lineage: Bacteria
Description: partial 16S ribosomal RNA
Rfam family: Bacterial small subunit ribosomal RNA
Source: RNAcentral